UCUUUCUCUGGCCUGAGGCAGGACGUCUCUGACAACCUGGUUCGCAGGGUUUAGUGGUUAAUAACAGUGAUAUAAUAUCGUUCAGCAGCAACACAGACAAACGCAGACUGUCUGCAUAUCUGAAACUGUUUUAGAUUCAGCACUGGAUCUUACGCUUUCUUUUCUGAUGGGGUACUGGAAUAUAUCAUCAACCCGAUAGAUGCCGUUGUGUAUUUAUAAUAGCAGCAUGUUAGCGAUCUGCUCAUUUCUAAUCUCUCUCAGUAGGAGAGCACUUGCCUUAAUGCACGGUCACAGCUUGACCUGGUCAGGGCAUGUGAGCACAGUUUAUCAUGAGUUCACACAUGUGUGUGUGUGUGUGUGUGUGUGUGUGUGUGUGUGUGUGUGUGUGUGUGUGUGUGUGUGUUCUCUUCUGAUAGCAAAUUACAUUAGUGGCAGAUUUAAUGCGUUCAUGUAUUGAAAACUCAGCACCAUCAUGGCUGCCCCACUGCUCAGACUAAUUUGGCAGAUGCUGUUAGUAUCGCUGCUAAACCCGAAUGUGAGCAAUGCAGCAUGCAGAAAAGGUGUGUAUUGCAGUUUGCAUGUGCGUGCUGCAACUAGUUGAUGUGUGGAGUUUUUCCUUAUUUUCCGACCAUAACCAAUAAUGCAAUAAUUCCUGUGAUCAUUACUAUGCUACCUACUGUUACAAUCCAUAGCAUUACUGCUACUAGAAUUACUAUCACCCUUACUUUUAAAAUGAAUACUACUGCUUAUGUUUUAUUACACCUAUGACUACCACUGUUACUGUCACUUUUACUAAUAAUAAUAUAACUACAAUUACUACUACUACAACUACUACUACUACUACUAAUAAUAAUAAUAAUAAUAAUAAUAAUAUCACUGUCACUCUUAGUUUUAUUCGCACUAAUUAUUAGUUUUAUUUCCAUUACUAGGACUACUUCUAUUACUAGUAUUGUCACCGUCACUUUUACUAGUACUAAUAUUACUACCAUUACUACUACUACCAAUGUCUCUCUCUUUUACUAGUACUAAUAGCCAAUAUUACUUUUACUACUACUAAUAAUAAUAAUUAUUAUUAUUAUUAAUAGUAGUAGUAGUAGUACUACUACUAACUACAACUCCA
Long non-coding RNA from Ictalurus punctatus (channel catfish), 1120 nucleotides. NCBI's taxonomy places the organism in Eukaryota, Metazoa, Chordata, Actinopteri, Siluriformes, Ictaluridae. The record is from Ensembl.